CAGCCUGGCUACAGAGUGAGACUCUGUCAAAACAACAACAACAACAAAAAACUAGACUGCUCCUCUUUCUUCACAUUGUCAAAAAUUUUUAGUAUUUUCUUUCUGUUCUGUAACCACCAUUGAAAUGUCCAUAAUCUGUUCACUCUGCAAGGUGGAAAACUAAUAGGGAGAAUUUACCUUUCUGUGACUAUGUGCCCUGAGGACACUGCAGAGCAAGUGGCAUGCUAGGAUCCCUUCUCCCCUUGGCCAGGAUCAUGUUCACGUGUCACUCAGUGGAGAAUGUUCCUGGAGUGAAAUUGAAAUGGGGAUUCUACCUCCACUAGACCCUUGAUCAUCCCUCAUGUUUUCUGAGUUCUUAGUACUACCUGGUCAUUCAUUAUCCUGGCACCUGUGUUUCAUCUUGGCUUGCACCCUCCUUAUUGGGCUUUGUAAGUGUGCAGGACCCUGAAAUGCCAGAAUAUGCUGCUCUGGUUCUCCUUAGAAAAUGUGCUCGUGUUCUUUAGCACAGAAGCUUUGCAUUUUAGUUAGUUGCCAACAAUGAAACAAAAUUGAGAUAUUUCACACAAAUUCUAGAUUUCUG
This 580-nucleotide long non-coding RNA is filed under the name Homo sapiens (human). RNAcentral's name for it is "non-protein coding lnc-SOCS4-3:1". The record is from RNAcentral. Lineage: Eukaryota; Metazoa; Chordata; Mammalia; Primates; Hominidae.